UGGCUCAGAUUGAACGCUGGCGGCAGGCCUAACACAUGCAAGUCGAACGGUAACAGGAAGCAGCUUGCUGCUUCGCUGACGAGUGGCGGACGGGUGAGUAAUGUCUGGGAAACUGCCUGAUGGAGGGGGAUAACUACUGGAAACGGUGGCUAAUACCGCAUAACGUCGCAAGACCAAAGAGGGGGACCUUCGGGCCUCUUGCCAUCAGAUGUGCCCAGAUGGGAUUAGCUUGUUGGUGAGGUAACGGCUCACCAAGGCGACGAUCCCUAGCUGGUCUGAGAGGAUGACCAGCCACACUGGAACUGAGACACGGUCCAGACUCCUACGGGAGGCAGCAGUGGGGAAUAUUGCACAAUGGGCGCAAGCCUGAUGCAGCCAUGCCGCGUGUAUGAAGAAGGCCUUCGGGUUGUAAAGUACUUUCAGCGGGGAGGAAGGUGUUGUGGUUAAUAACCGCAGCAAUUGACGUUACCCGCAGAAGAAGCACCGGCUAACUCCGUGCCAGCAGCCGCGGUAAUACGGAGGGUGCAAGCGUUAAUCGGAAUUACUGGGCGUAAAGCGCACGCAGGCGGUCUGUCAAGUCGGAUGUGAAAUCCCCGGGCUCAACCUGGGAACUGCAUUCGAAACUGGCAGGCUUGAGUCUUGUAGAGGGGGGUAGAAUUCCAGGUGUAGCGGUGAAAUGCGUAGAGAUCUGGAGGAAUACCGGUGGCGAAGGCGGCCCCCUGGACAAAGACUGACGCUCAGGUGCGAAAGCGUGGGGAGCAAACAGGAUUAGAUACCCUGGUAGUCCACGCCGUAAACGAUGUCUACUUGGAGGUUGUGCCCUUGAGGCGUGGCUUCCGGAGCUAACGCGUUAAGUAGACCGCCUGGGGAGUACGGCCGCAAGGUUAAAACUCAAAUGAAUUGACGGGGGCCCGCACAAGCGGUGGAGCAUGUGGUUUAAUUCGAUGCAACGCGAAGAACCUUACCUGGUCUUGACAUCCACAGAAGAAUCCAGAGAUGGAUUUGUGCCUUCGGGAACUGUGAGACAGGUGCUGCAUGGCUGUCGUCAGCUCGUGUUGUGAAAUGUUGGGUUAAGUCCCGCAACGAGCGCAACCCUUAUCCUUUGUUGCCAGCGAUUAGGUCGGGAACUCAAAGGAGACUGCCAGUGAUAAACUGGAGGAAGGUGGGGAUGGCGUCAAGUCAUCAUGGCCCUUACGACCAGGGCUACACACGUGCUACAAUGGCGCAUACAAAGAGAAGCGACCUCGCGAGAGCAAGCGGACCUCAUAAAGUGCGUCGUAGUCCGGAUUGGAGUCUGCAACUCGACUCCAUGAAGUCGGAAUCGCUAGUAAUCGUGGAUCAGAAUGCCACGGUGAAUACGUUCCCGGGCCUUGUACACACCGCCCGUCACACCAUGGGAGUGGGUUGCAAAAGAAGUAGGUAGCUUAACCUUCGGGAGGGCGCUUACCACUUUGUGAUUCAUGACUGGGGUGAAGUCGUA
RNAcentral lists this ribosomal RNA (1480 nucleotides) under uncultured bacterium. Its description in RNAcentral is "bacterial SSU rRNA". It matches the Rfam family "Bacterial small subunit ribosomal RNA". The record is from RNAcentral.